RNAcentral lists this long non-coding RNA (1839 nucleotides) under Cinara cedri. Lineage: Eukaryota; Metazoa; Arthropoda; Insecta; Hemiptera; Aphididae. The record is from RNAcentral.
UCUAAAAACAGAUUUUACAGAAAAAAACAAUUUUCAUAUUAUAAAUAACCUACUAGGUAUUAUAAUACUAACAAAUUUACCCCCGGAUUAAAGCAAACGUUUGGCUGGUAUUUGAACAAAAUCGUGAACGAGACAAUUACAAAAUUUAAACCUUCCUCAAAAUUUUUUUAUAAGACUUGAUAAUUAUAUAAUUUUCUUAUUGACUUCGCUGAUGAAUUAGUACAAUUAUAUUUAAUAGUUUCUUGGUUGAUUUCAUAAACCCUACGUUCUUCUCCUUCGCCUUCAACCCAACUAUUGGGAUUGCACGCUAAACUUGCACUGAGCCCGAUUUCAUAUUCUCAAUUGCUUCCAGCCACUUUAGAUCGUCUUCCCCUCAUUCCUCCUACAUCUAUUUUCAUUAAACAUUAAUUAACUACAUUCAUUCUGAACCAUCUACGUAUGUUUUUUCUUAUUUUGUCCAUUAUUGAAGGUUAGUGUAUCGAAAUUGGAGUCUGUGGAACUUGCUCCGAUUUUUACGUGUAGCAAAGCAAAUUGGUGUGGAGAGGUAGACUUUUCUCAAUAGUUUUCUCAUCAAAUGCGAAAAACUAAAAAAAAAAAGAAACGGGAAAAUGUACGAAACAUUUAAAUCAUGUACGAAAAUGUAUGAAAUAUAUUUGUAUAAUAUUACAAUUUCUAUUUUCUAUUGAUAACUUUAAAAAUAGGUUCAUCGCUGACUUUUUCAAAAAUAUAGAUGUCAUAUUAUGGUAAAAUGAUUACAAUAAUAUGCGUUUCCAGAGGUGAGAGACGAUCAUUUCUAACCCAUAGUAUUAUGUUUAUGCUUAGCACGGUGACACGCUUCGGUACGUAACCCCUUAUCCCAAAUCCGUGUUGAUAUUGCAAUGAUAUUAUAUUAUUGCGUGUUGUUCCGGCUUCUAAAAUUCCGAUAUCGUCAUUUUUAAUUUAAUCAAGUGUUUAUUUUAUCAUUCCUACUACCUAUUUUCAUCAACAUAAUAAAUAAAUAUAAUUAUACCUGUAUUCAAACUCAACACUGUUGCUGAGGAUACUCCGUUCAGGAUAGGUAAGCAUAUUAUUGUUACCCUUCAUAGUGUAUAUCUUAUGUUAAUAGUUUCUUACCGUCGUAGGCUGUAAUAAGUAAUCUGAGUGAUUGGCGGGUGUACAUUCAUUUAUUUUGUACCCCUAUAUUCACUGUAUUACAAUAUUAUUUGGGUAUUUCUAAUAAUACAUUUUCUAACGUACCAUGAGACACGACGUAAAUUAUCAUGUUGUUUUUCCAUUUUAUUUCGCUGCGAACGUCCGAGUACGUCGUGCGUCGUUCAUUUUUUCGUAAAUCGCAUUUGUUAAAAGACACCUAUCGCGAAAACACCAAUUGGUGAGUGUUAUUGUAAUUAAUUGGAUUAUUUAUUAUUAUCGUGUGUAGAGAAUAAAACGCGUUAAAAAUGACCAAUGGCGGCUAUUAUGGCGUUUAACAUGGUUAAAAUAGGAAAAUACACUACUGGUCAAUUUUUAAUAGUUUAUUGGCGAAGUUGGCCGUCAACUGUUUUUUCGACUUUGAAUCAUUUUAUCGUGUAUGGCCUCGGGUCAUACACAACGGAUGCAGUACACCCCAUUUAAAUUCGCGGCGGAAAACGGUGGUCUUGCGUUUUGGCGGACGAACGCCUAAUUUCUCAUUGUUUUAAAUUAGGUUUGGCUAAAUUGGUGACGGGAAACGCCGCGUUUAUACCAUAUACCAAUAAUUAUGACAAUCGUGUAUGUUGUAAUAAAAGUAUAUUUUUCACUAUAAUAUUAAUGUAAAUCUAAAAAAAAAAAAAAAAAAAAAAAAAAAAAAAAAAACAGCCGUGC